Long non-coding RNA from Acinonyx jubatus (cheetah), 996 nucleotides. RefSeq lists it as uncharacterized. The record is from RefSeq and is a predicted model, not a curated record. The transcript has 3 exons. Lineage: Eukaryota; Metazoa; Chordata; Mammalia; Carnivora; Felidae.
AAAAGUGACCCGUCCUUGUUUUCUACAUAAAGUCACAAGCCCAUCUCACCGCAGCACUUACUAUCCCACGAUUCCAUUUUGAUUUUUUUCUAUAGUGCUGUCAUGAGUUGAAUACCAUUCUCUGAAAAUCCAUGUCCUUUCUGAAAGCUCAGAAUAUGACCUCAUUUGGAAACAGGGUCCUUGUAGAUGUAAUCAAAUUAGGAUGAGGUCAUAAGGAUGCGUCCUAAUCCAGUAUGACUGAUGCCCUUAUAAGAAGAGGGAAAUGUGGACACACAUAGGGAGAGAGCUCUCUGUGAAGAGGAGGAGGCAGAGACCGGAGUGGCCCAUCUACAAGCCCAGGACCAUGAAGGACUGCCAGCUGUCCCCAUGAGCUGGGCUUAGGAAGCAAUCUUGAGGACGGCCCAAUUCAAGGAGAAGCAAGUGCAAUGCCCCGCGUGACGAUCAUCCACCAUGCAAGCGAGAAGCGCAGGAUUUAUAGGAGGUUGAGAGAAAGAACUGAGGUGCCUUGAAUGGACAAGAACUUGGAAGAAUUUAGAAAGCUGAGGAAGAAUGGCUAGAAGCCUUUUAGGGAGAGUUCAUGAAAAGCCAAAACACUUUCCAAGUGGUUAUGUGUCCACGACGGUCUUUGCUUUGUGUGCCAUGUAUUUUUUUCUUUUUUCUUUUAGUCUUCAAGAUUUUGGUUUUAAUUAUUUCGCUGAUGAAUUUUAUAUUAAAUGUAAACUCCGGGGCAGAGCUUUGCUGUCUAAUGAAAUGUAUGCAGCCAAUGAAGAAGUUUAAGCCACAAGAUCCAGUGUGUUCCACACAUUUGCAAUCAUCUGUGGAAAGUCAACUACUCUGGGCCUCAGUUGGCCCACAGGAAGAUACAGGAGACACUCCCAGAUCACUGAUAUUAUAUAAUUACCGUGUCAAAUACCAACAUACCCUUAUGGCGAAUCCCCUUUCCACUUCCAAAUAAAUGGAUAUUUGUUUUCAAGUAAGACUUCUUGUUAUCGAUAA